This 367-nucleotide ribosomal RNA is filed under the name uncultured eukaryote. Its description in RNAcentral is "partial 18S ribosomal RNA". It matches the Rfam family "Eukaryotic small subunit ribosomal RNA", at positions 592 to 976 of the family's 1831-position model. The record is from RNAcentral.
CAAUAGCGUAUAUUAAAGUUGUUGCAGUUAAAAAGCUCGUAGUUGAAAUUCUGGACGUCCGAGUCUCUAGUCUUUAGGCGGGGAUGUCGGCGUUCAUCCGCUUGCAAGCAUACGUUCGCCCUUAACCAGGCGGCUAUGUGAGUAAGCAUUUUACCUUGAGAAAAACAGAGUGUUCCAGGCAGGUUUGUCCGGGAUGCAUUAGCAUGGAAUAAUAGAACAUGACUGAAGUCAAGUUAUUGGUUGUAGACUUUAGUAAUGAUUAAUAGGAACAGUCGGGGGCAUUCGUACUCAGCAGUCAGAGGUGAAAUUCUAAGAUUUGCUGAAGACGAACUAAUGCGAAAGCAUUUGCCAAGGGUGUUUNCAUUAA